GACGAACUCUGGCGGCGUGCCUCAUACAUGCCCGACUACCGCUGAACAAAGGAGCUUGCUCUUCUUGGAUGACUUGCGAACGGGUGAGUAACGCUCAGGUUACCUGCCUGGUAACGCGGGAUAACUAUUGUAGACGAUAGCUAAUACCCCAUAACAAUGGGUGACUCAUGUCAUUUAUUUGACCGGGGCAAAUGCUCCACUACCAGAUGGACCUGCGUUGUAUUACCUACCAGGUGAGGUAACGGCUCACCGACGCGACUAUCCCUCGCCGACCUGAUAGGGUGAUCGGCCCCACUGGGACUGAGACACGGCCCAUACUCCUACUGGAGGCAUGAUCACGAAAUCUUCGGCUAUGGGGGCAACCCUGACCGAACGACGCCGCCUGAGUGAAGAACGUUUUCGGAUCUCUAAAGCUCUGUUGUGCGUCAAGAACGAGUGCGAGACUGGAAAGUUCACACUGAGACGGUAGCUUACCACAAAGGGACGGCUAACUACAUGCCAACGCCCGCGGUGAUACAUAAGUCCCUAGCGGUUUCCGGAUUUAUUGUGCGUUCAGCUAGCGCAUGCAGUUUGAUAAGUCUGAAUUUAGAGGGUGUGGCUCAACCAUAGUUCGCUUUGGAAACUGUCAAACUUGAGUGCAGAAGGGGAGAGUUGGAAUUCCAUGUGUAGCGGUGAAAUGCGUAGAUAUAUGGAGGAACACCGGUGGUGAAAGCGGCUCUAUGGUCUGUAACUGACGUUGAGGCUCGAAAGCGUGGGGAGCGAACAGGAUUAGAUACCGUGGUAGUCCACGCCGUAAACGAUGAGUGUUAGGUGUUGGAUCCUUUCCGGGAUUCAGUGCCGCAGCUAACGCAUUAAGCACUCCGCCUGGGGAGUACGACCGCAAGGUUGAAACUCAAAGGAAUUGACGGGGGCCCGCACAAGCGGUGGAGCAUGUGGUUUAAUUCGAAGCAACGUGAAGAACCUUAGCAGGUCUUGACAUCCCGAUGUUAUUUCUAGAGAUAGAAAGUUAGUUCGGUACAUCGGUGCCAGGUGGUGCAUGGUUGUCGUCAGCUCGUGUCGUGAGAUGUUGGGUUAAGUCCCGCACCGAGCGCAACCCCUAUUGUUAGUUGCCAUCAUUCAUUUGGGCACUGUAGAGAGAUUGCCGGUAAUAAACCGGAGGAAGGUGGGGAUGACUUCAAAUCAUCAUGCCCCUUAUGUCCUGGGCUACACACGUGAUACAAUGGUUGGUACAACGAGUUGUGAGUCGGUGUCGUGCAAGCUAAUCUAUUAAAGCCAAUAUCAGUUCGGAUUGUAGGCUGCAAUUUGCAGACAAGCAGUCGGAAUUGUUAGUAAUCGCGGAUCAGCACGCGGCGGUGAAUACGUUCCCGGUCCU
Molecule: ribosomal RNA, 1372 nt
Filed under: uncultured bacterium
Lineage: Bacteria
Description: bacterial SSU rRNA
Rfam family: Bacterial small subunit ribosomal RNA
Source: RNAcentral